UACGUAGGGGGCGAGCGUUGUCCGGAUUUAUUGGGCGUAAAGAGCGUGUAGGCGGCCAGGUAGGUCUGCUGUGAAAACUCGAGGCUCAACCUCGAGACGUCGGCGGAAACCAUCUGGCUAGAGUCCGGAAGAGGAGAGUGGAAUUCCUGGUGUAGCGGUGAAAUGCGCAGAUAUCAGGAAGAACACCCGUGGCGAAGGCGGGUCUCUGGGCCGAUACUGACGCUGAGGAGCGAAAGCGUGGGGAGCGAACAGG
RNAcentral lists this ribosomal RNA (253 nucleotides) under uncultured bacterium. Its description in RNAcentral is "partial 16S ribosomal RNA". It matches the Rfam family "Bacterial small subunit ribosomal RNA", at positions 524 to 776 of the family's 1533-position model. The record is from RNAcentral.